RNAcentral lists this ribosomal RNA (234 nucleotides) under uncultured bacterium. RNAcentral describes it as "partial 16S ribosomal RNA". It matches the Rfam family "Bacterial small subunit ribosomal RNA", at positions 116 to 334 of the family's 1533-position model. The record is from RNAcentral.
CGUAGGUAAUCUACCUUCGGAUGGGGAAUAACAAAUCGGAAACGGUUGCUAAUACCGCAUAAUGCAGCGGCACCUAAUGGUGACAGUUGUUAAAGCGGGGGAUCGAAAGACCUCGCGUCUGAAGAGGAGCCUGCGGCGGAUUAGCUAGUUGGUAAGGUAAUGGCUUACCAAGGCUACGAUCCGUAACCGGCCUGAGAGGGCGGUCGGUCACACUGACACUGACAUACGGGUCAG